GCUCUGAGGUAGCUAAGAGAAGGUGAUGUUGU
RNAcentral lists this non-coding RNA (32 nucleotides) under Homo sapiens (human). Lineage: Eukaryota; Metazoa; Chordata; Mammalia; Primates; Hominidae. The record is from RNAcentral.